CGACCCCAGGAUGGGCGAGGCCACCCGCCGAGUUUAA
Molecule: ribosomal RNA, 37 nt
Filed under: Dendrobium loddigesii
Lineage: Eukaryota; Viridiplantae; Streptophyta; Magnoliopsida; Asparagales; Orchidaceae
Also listed under: 1 other name
Description: partial 28S ribosomal RNA
Source: RNAcentral